GACAAAAUUUCUCUCUUUUGCCGUCUCUUUGCACAGGCUUUGGUUCUGGUGAUUAGUUGUUAAUGGGAAUAUGUCUAAGGCCUAAAUUUUCUCCCAAUAUUCUUUGGUUUUUCAUAAUUUUUUUUUGUCUUACCAUUUGCUUCUAUUCUAUGCCAUUAAACUCUUACAUUUACUGGUAUCAGUAAUAUGUUUAAGGCCUAAAUCUCUUUCAAUAUAGUUUGGUAGUUCAUAACUUGUUUAAUUUAGUACUUGCUUCUGUUCUGUUUCAUUAUACUUACAGCUAACAUUAUCGGCUUUUGGAAUGAAAGGCUUCAUAUUUUGAAACAUUCAGUUGUCUUCAUUUCAAUGUAAAAUCAUGAUUUCUUGAUUCUCUAAUUCUCUUCAUUAGCACCUAAACGUUUGUCCCUCUGUUGACAGGAGAAGAUCCACACAAAAGCA
This 438-nucleotide unclassified non-coding RNA is filed under the name Hevea brasiliensis (rubber tree). The record is from RNAcentral. Lineage: Eukaryota; Viridiplantae; Streptophyta; Magnoliopsida; Malpighiales; Euphorbiaceae.